AGAGCAUUGAGAGGACCUUUCCCUAGUACGAGAGGACCGGGAAGGACGCACCUCUGGUGUACCAGUUAUCGUGCCUACGGUAAACGCUGGGUAGCCAAGUGCGGAGAGGAUAACUGCUGAAAGCAUAUAAGUAGUAAGCCCACCCCAAGAUGAGUGCUCU
This 160-nucleotide non-coding RNA is filed under the name Oryza nivara. RNAcentral describes it as "rRNA LSU_rRNA_eukarya". It matches the Rfam family "Bacterial large subunit ribosomal RNA", at positions 2656 to 2814 of the family's 2925-position model. RNAcentral also lists the same sequence under 4 other names. The record is from RNAcentral. Lineage: Eukaryota; Viridiplantae; Streptophyta; Magnoliopsida; Poales; Poaceae.